CCUGCCGCCCAACGGCGCCUUUGUUCGCCUCCAGCCUUGUUUUCCUCACGCUUUACCCUGCUGUUUAGAAUAUCUCAGCACCUCAGGGUUCCCGUCGACAGUCCCUCAGUCAGUGCAGUUCGGAAUUCCCGUCUCUCCCUCUCUGAGGACUUGAAGCAAACGCGCAAACAGAACCCACGCCCUACAUGUUCCUGAGAUGCACCCUCUCCUUUCCCCGCUAUUGAGUCCCAUUUUCCCCGAGUGUAAUCCCUAGACUUUAUCUUCACACACGGAUGUAUGAGUUCAGGGACCUUUUUCCUACAGAAAUCGUACUCUAACUGGGAUUGUGGAACUAGAGAUUCCUCUCAGCCCUUGGAAGCAAUUUCCUCAGCGUGAAAGCUUGGGCCAAAAAAGUAGAAGCGAAACCCAGCCCUCCCUUCCUCUUCAGCUUCUCUUGGCCUCUCCGGGCCCCAGACUUGAUCAUCCUUGAACUGAAGUAGAAGGCCGGCCUCCCAGCUGAUAAGUUAAAAGUAUGUAUCUUACAAACCAGGAGCCUUUAUGAAGCAAGAGUUCUGCUCUCCACUCCAAUGAUGGCAUUAUAAGCAAGUAAACAAAGACUUGACCGCGACACCAUCGCUUCUUUGGAAGUGAUGGUCACCCAGCUGCCUCUAACCUGCUGCUACAAUGAACAUCUUUGUGACUGUCCCCUUAUGAACCUGGGCUCAAGUUCCUCUGGGAUGCCUCCCUGGAAUAGA
This is a long non-coding RNA of Hippopotamus amphibius kiboko, 734 nucleotides long. RefSeq lists it as uncharacterized. NCBI's taxonomy places the organism in Eukaryota, Metazoa, Chordata, Mammalia, Artiodactyla, Hippopotamidae. The record is from RefSeq and is a predicted model, not a curated record. The transcript has 3 exons.